AUUGAACGCUGGCGGCAUGCUUUACACAUGCAAGUCGAACGGCAGCGCGGGCUUCGGCCUGGCGGCGAGUGGCGAACGGGUGAGUAAUGCAUCGGAACGUGCCCAGUAGUGGGGGAUAGCCCGGCGAAAGCCGGAUUAAUACCGCAUACGACCUGAGGGUGAAAGCGGGGGACCGAAAGGCCUCGCGCUAUUGGAGCGGCCGAUGUCGGAUUAGCUAGUUGGUGGGGUAAAGGCUUACCAAGGCGACGAUCCGUAGCUGGUCUGAGAAGACGACCAGCCACACUGGGACUGAGACACGGCCCAGACUCCUACGGGAGGCAGCAGUGGGGAAUUUUGGACAAUGGGGGCAACCCUGAUCCAGCCAUGCCGCGUGCGGGAAGAAGGCCUUCGGGUUGUAAACCGCUUUUGUUCGGGAAGAAAUCCCCUGGGCUAAUACCCCGGGGGGAUGACGGUACCGGAAGAAUAAGCACCGGCUAACUACGUG
RNAcentral lists this ribosomal RNA (484 nucleotides) under uncultured bacterium. RNAcentral describes it as "partial 16S ribosomal RNA". It matches the Rfam family "Bacterial small subunit ribosomal RNA", at positions 29 to 507 of the family's 1533-position model. The record is from RNAcentral.